RNAcentral lists this ribosomal RNA (253 nucleotides) under uncultured bacterium. RNAcentral describes it as "partial 16S ribosomal RNA". It matches the Rfam family "Bacterial small subunit ribosomal RNA", at positions 524 to 776 of the family's 1533-position model. The record is from RNAcentral.
GACGAAGGGGGCUAGCGUUGUUCGGAAUUACUGGGCGUAAAGCGCGUGUAGGCGGUUGUUCAAGUUGGAUGUGAAAGCCUUGAGCUCAACUCAAGAAAUGCAUUCAGGACUGGGCGACUAGAGGACCGGAGAGGAUAGUGGAAUUCCCAGUGUAGUGGUGAAAUACGUAGAGAUUGGGAAGAACACCAGUGGCGAAGGCGGCUAUCUGGACGGUUUCUGACGCUAAGACGCGAAAGCGUGGGGAGCAAACAGG